RNAcentral lists this ribosomal RNA (205 nucleotides) under uncultured bacterium. Its description in RNAcentral is "partial 16S ribosomal RNA". It matches the Rfam family "Bacterial small subunit ribosomal RNA", at positions 568 to 773 of the family's 1533-position model. The record is from RNAcentral.
UGAGUAGGCGGUCUGCUAAGCGUGUGGUGAAAGCCUGGGGCUCAACCCCAGGUCUGCCAUGCGAACUGGUGGACUUGAGCACUGUAGAGGCAGGUGGAAUUCCGGGUGUAGCGGUGGAAUGCGUAGAGAUCCGGAAGAACACCGGUGGCGAAGGCGGCCUGCUGGGCAGUUGCUGACGCUGAAUCACACAGCGGUGGGAGCAACA